AUUGAACGCUGGCGGCAGGCCUAACACAUGCAAGUCGAGCGGAUGAAGGGAGCUUGCUCCUGGAUUCAGCGGCGGACGGGUGAGUAAUGCCUAGGAAUCUGCCUGGUCGUGGGGGAUAACGUCCGGAAACGGGCGCUAAUACCGCAUACGUCCUGUGGGAGAAAGUGGGGGUUCUUCGGACCUCACGCUAUCAGAUGAGCCUAGGUCGGAUUAGCUAGUUGGUGGGGUAAAGGCCUACCAAGGCGACGAUCCGUAACUGGUCUGAGAGGAUGAUCAGGCACACUGGAACUGAGACACGGUCCAGACUCCUACGGGAGGCAGCAGUGGGGAAUAUUGGACGAUGGGCGAAAGCCUGAUCCAGCAAUGCCGCGUGUGUGAAGAAGGUCUUCGGAUUGUAAAACACUGUAAGUUGGGAGGAAGGGCAGUAAGUUAAUACCUUGCUGUUUUGACGGUACCUACAGAAUAAGCACCGGCUAACUUCGUG
This 484-nucleotide ribosomal RNA is filed under the name uncultured bacterium. Its description in RNAcentral is "partial 16S ribosomal RNA". It matches the Rfam family "Bacterial small subunit ribosomal RNA", at positions 30 to 507 of the family's 1533-position model. The record is from RNAcentral.